UAUGUGAUAAAAAAAUAAUAUAUACGGUCGAGUAUUGAAUGAAAAUAAGUGAAUUUCUCGUUUUCUUUUAAUUUUGAAAAAUUCAACAUCAUUCGAUAUUAUCAAACUUUUCUAGUGUAUAUUUACGCUUAAUUAAAUUUUAUUGUUUUGAAGUGUAAUUUUUUUUGUGUACAGUUUUUAGUGUAAUUGAAAAUGUCAAUUGGAGAUCGAGCUUAUAUAAAUCGUCAACUAGGACGUUUACGAACAAUAAAUAUCAACAGUAAAAUACCACAGCUUCAUAAAAAAAAGAUUACGAAAAAUGAUAAGUCCGAAACACACUACAGUAAAAAAUAUGGGUGAUGUUUUACGAGGAUUUUUGAGCCGUGAUGUUGCUUUAAAAUUCGUUCCAGCAAGAUUAUCAUCCAAGGAUGUGACAAAAAAAAUUUUUAAACAUACUAAUUUUUACUCAAGCAUUCAAGAAAUCUUUAGUAAAAAAUUAACUUCCAGUCCUGAAAAUCCACUUGACGACAAAGCAAUUUUGUCAGCGAUGACAACAAUAAUUCAAGGUGCUCGAGAUUGGGAUGGCCAUCGAC
This is a long non-coding RNA of Microplitis demolitor, 572 nucleotides long. RefSeq lists it as uncharacterized. The transcript is spliced from 3 exons. The record is from RefSeq and is a predicted model, not a curated record. Lineage: Eukaryota; Metazoa; Arthropoda; Insecta; Hymenoptera; Braconidae.